UACGGAGGGUGCAAGCGUUAUCCGGAUUCAUUGGGUUUAAAGGGUGCGUAGGCUGGGCGGUAAGUCAGUGGUGAAAUCCUGCAGCUUAACUGUAGAAUUGCCAUUGAUACUGCCGUCCUUGAGUGCGCUCGACGUGGGCGGAAUGUGCCGUGUAGCGGUGAAAUGCUUAGAGAUCAGGAAGAACAUCGGUGGCGAAGGCGCUCUGCUGGACCAUAACUGACACUCAGGGACGAAAGCUAGGGGAGCGAAUGGG
This 253-nucleotide ribosomal RNA is filed under the name uncultured bacterium. RNAcentral's name for it is "partial 16S ribosomal RNA". It matches the Rfam family "Bacterial small subunit ribosomal RNA", at positions 524 to 776 of the family's 1533-position model. The record is from RNAcentral.